This 420-nucleotide ribosomal RNA is filed under the name uncultured soil bacterium. RNAcentral's name for it is "bacterial SSU rRNA". It matches the Rfam family "Bacterial small subunit ribosomal RNA", at positions 94 to 558 of the family's 1533-position model. The record is from RNAcentral.
AGCGGCGAAAGGGUGCGUAACACGUAGCUACCUGCCUCGAAGUGGGGGAUAUCUCCGAGAAAUCGGAGUUAAUACCGCAUGUGCGCGAGCAAAGCUGCGCUUUGAGAUGGGGCUGCGGCCUAUCAGCUAGUUGGCGGGGUAAAGGCCCACCAAGGCUUAGACGGGUAGCUGGUCUGAGAGGACGACCAGCCACACUGGAACUGAGACACGGUCCAGACACCUACGGGUGGCAGCAGUCGAGGAUUUUUCUCAAUGGGGGAAACCCUGAAGGAGCGACGCCGCGUGGGGGAUGAAGGUCUUCGGAUUGUAAACCCCUGUCAUCCGGGAACAAUGAUAGUACCGGAAGAGGAAGCCGUGGCUAACUCUGUGCCAGCAGACGCGGUAAUACAGAGACGGCAAGCGUUGUUCGGAUUCAUUGGG